AAUUUUAAAGUAUGUUCUUGGCUUCAUUUUCUUUUGCCUAAAAUAAAAUAUUAUUUCUGUGAAUUCCCAAGCUAAGAGAUCUUGCUGUUUGAAGUUCUGCAUAUGUCCCAGUGUAAAUACAGAUAAAUAAUCUUUUUCCAAUUUAACAGAGGCAAUGCUAUAUAGUGAAUAGAAGACCAGACUGAAAUCAAGUCCUGCUUCUGAGACAUACAGGCUGUGUUAUCCUGGGUGCCUCCCUGCUACCUGUGUUCAAUGCCCUGAGCCUGGCAUAGUUGUUCCAGCAAGACACUCCCUCCAAACUAGCACCCUUGCCCUCUCAAAGAUUCCAGCAACUACUGGAGACUCAGCACAGUAGGGGGAGGGCAGAGUGAAGAUGUCAAAGUGCAAGCAGCAACAAGAAGGACUCUCCCAACAUUUCCUUCCCAGAGACAGAGCCAACAAGAGGCUGUAGUGAAAUAUUUCCCCAGUUCAUCCAAGAUAAGUAGGGCAGUCAGAAAUAGAAGUCUAUGACACUGAGGAGAGCUC
RNAcentral lists this long non-coding RNA (525 nucleotides) under Monodelphis domestica (gray short-tailed opossum). RNAcentral describes it as "lncRNA (ENSMODG00000047455.1)". The record is from RNAcentral. Lineage: Eukaryota; Metazoa; Chordata; Mammalia; Didelphimorphia; Didelphidae.